This 467-nucleotide ribosomal RNA is filed under the name uncultured bacterium. RNAcentral describes it as "partial 16S ribosomal RNA". It matches the Rfam family "Bacterial small subunit ribosomal RNA", at positions 28 to 507 of the family's 1533-position model. The record is from RNAcentral.
GACGAACGCUGGCGGCGUGCUUAACACAUGCAAGUCGAACGGAAAGGCCCUGCUUUUGUGGGGUGCUCGAGUGGCGAACGGGUGAGUAACACGUGAGUAACCUGCCCUUGACUUUGGGAUAACUUCAGGAAACUGGGGCUAAUACCGGAUAGGAGCUCCUGCUGCAUGGUGGGGGUUGGAAAGUUUCGGCGGUUGGGGAUGGACUCGCGGCUUAUCAGCUUGUUGGUGGGGUAGUGGCUUACCAAGGCUUUGACGGGUAGCCGGCCUGAGAGGGUGACCGGCAACAUUGGACCGGGAUUCCGGCCCAACCUCUACGGGAGGCAGCAGUGGGGAAUAUUGCACAAUGGGCGGAAGCCUGAUGCAGCAACGCCGCGUGCGGGAUGACGGCCUUCGGGUUGUAAACCGCUUUCGCCUGUGACGAAGCGUGAGUGACGGUAAUGGGUAAAGAAGCACCGGCUAACUACGUG